GACGAACGCUGGCGGCGGGCUUAACACAUGCAAGUCGAACGGAAAGGCCCUGCUUUGGUGGGGUGCUCGAGGGGCGAACGGGUGAGUAACACGUGAGUAACCUGCCCUUGACUUUGGGAUAACUUCAGGAAACUGGGGCUAAUACCGGAUAGGAGCUCCUGCUGCAUGGUGGGGGUUGGAAAGUUUCGGCGGUUGGGGAUGGACUCGCGGCUUAUCAGCUUGUGGGUGGGGUAGUGGCUUACCAAGGCUUUGACGGGUAGCCGGCCUGAGAGGGUGACCGGCCACAUUGGGACUGAGAUACGGCCCAGACUCCUACGGGAGGCAGCAGUGGGGAAUAUUGCACAAUGGGCGGAAGCCUGAUGCAGCAACGCCGCGUGCGGGAUGACGGCCUUCGGGUUGUAAACCGCUUUCGCCUGUGACGAAGCGUGAGUGACGGUAAUGGGUAAAGAAGCACCGGCUAACUACGUG
This 468-nucleotide ribosomal RNA is filed under the name uncultured bacterium. RNAcentral's name for it is "partial 16S ribosomal RNA". It matches the Rfam family "Bacterial small subunit ribosomal RNA", at positions 28 to 507 of the family's 1533-position model. The record is from RNAcentral.